RNAcentral lists this ribosomal RNA (492 nucleotides) under uncultured bacterium. RNAcentral describes it as "partial 16S ribosomal RNA". It matches the Rfam family "Bacterial small subunit ribosomal RNA", at positions 29 to 507 of the family's 1533-position model. The record is from RNAcentral.
AGUGAACGCUGGCGGUAGGCCUAACACAUGCAAGUCGAACGGCAGCACAGUAAGAGCUUGCUCUUACGGGUGGCGAGUGGCGGACGGGUGAGGAAUACAUCGGAAUCUACUUUUUCGUGGGGGAUAACGUAGGGAAACUUACGCUAAUACCGCAUACGACCUACGGGUGAAAGCAGGGGAUCUUCGGACCUUGCGCGAUUGAAUGAGCCGAUGUCGGAUUAGCUAGUUGGCGGGGUAAAGGCCCACCAAGGCGACGAUCCGUAGCUGGUCUGAGAGGAUGAUCAGCCACACUGGAACUGGGACACGGUCCAGACUCCUACGGGAGGCAGCAGUGGGGAAUAUUGGACAAUGGGCGCAAGCCUGAUCCAGCCAUACCGCGUGGGUGAAGAAGGCCUUCGGGUUGUAAAGACCUUUUGUUGGGAAAGAAAAGCAGCAGGUUAAGACCCCGCUGUUCUGACGGUACCCAAAGAAUAAGCACCGGCUAACUUCGUG